GGUUUACGGUGUUAAAUUCGUGAGGUGUAGAGAUGCAACAUUAGCCUACAGAAGAGUGAAAGUUUCUAAUGCGGGUUCGAUUUCCUGAAAUAAGAUCCUCUGGUCUCUAUUCCCGCCGAGGCCUGGUUUUACUACGAGUCUGAAGCAGCCACAUUUGGGCGGUUUUCUACUCCGAGGAGAGAAUUCAUCAAAUGAAUUGGCCCAGACGUCUGCAGUGUGCAGUGAAGGAAGCUCCUCUCAUAAGAUUGCAGACCUGGAGUCUGAUGACACCGAGCGAGUGAUGGAGGGAGCAGAAUGAUGAAGAUGAAGCCAGAAUUGUGAGUCUGUGUCAUUUAUGUUAUUCUGUGUACAGUAAAAAUUUUAAACACAAACAAAUAUGAAAAAUUAAAAUUUAACUGGGCAGCCACACAAUAUCUGCUUAUGUUCACACCUGGAAUUUACUAGUUAUUAAUUUAAGAUGUCAAAACACAUAAAGCCCAAAAAUGAAAACUUGUCGUCAUUUCUCACUCUCUGUCAUUCCAAACCUGCAAGACUUUCAUUCAUUUUCAAAACACAAAUGAAGAUAUUUUAAACGAAACCUGAGAGAUUUCUGUCCUUCCAUCGACAGUCUACACAACUACCACUUUGAUGCUUCAAGAAGUUUAUAAAGAGAUCAUAAAAGUAAUCCAAAUCAAUCGAGUGGUUUAGUCACAAUUUUCUGAAGAGACUCAGUCGCUUUAUACAAUGAACAGAUUUUAUUUUUUUAUUUUUUUCACAUUUAAACAUUGAUCAGGGAUCAUAAACAGAAAAUUUGGACUAAACCACAUGAUACGUAUGGAUUAGAUCUCUUUAUCUUUAUGACUACACAAUCAGUUUAGCAGAAUGGUUCCUGAGAGACAUAUUGUCAUUAUUUUUAUUUAUUUAUUCAUUUUUUUCCCCAAGAAGUCAAGUUACUGGCUUUUCCCAAGACCUUCAAGGACACGAUUGACCUUGGAAUCAGCUGCAAAGGAGGAUGAAACCGAUGUUUAAAAAUGGGACGGCGAUCUUGCAUCAAUGUAUCUCCUUCAUUUGAUUCCACCAUCACCACAAGCCUGCAAGGGACCUGGAGAAAUGUCCUCCUAUCAAGCUGAAAAACAUCUUCAAAAAGGCACUAAUAAGAACACCUUGUAGAGACCACACAGCCGUACCUGCUCGCUGAUGGGACAACGAGGAACAGCGUUCAUGGAUGCUACACAACUGUCGACAAGUGUCUUGCUGCAAUCUUGUUCAAAUCUACUGGUCAUAUUUGUUAAUGUCUAGGCUUGCUGGAGCCUUUCAUGGGUCAUAGGCAGGACAAGCCCCUGGACAGAUGUCCAGUCCAUCACAUUCAUCUUCACACUCACUACAGUCUCCAGUUCUCCUGUCCUGUGUGUCUCUGGAUUGUGGGAGAAACCCAGAGAACACCAGCAGCUGCACUCAAUACUGCACACACACCUCAUUACAGACUGAUGAUGGCUUUUUUUUUUUUGUUUUUUUUUUUGUAAUUAUUGCUUCAGAAUUGUAUAUAUAUAUAUUUUUCUCAACUUUUUAUAUUUAUUUUUCACAAGUAAUUUUUGUGUGUCAUUUUUUCACAAGUAACUGCUGAUGGGUUUUUGUUUUUGGUAUAUAAAGAAAUAGCGGCAUCGCAGUGUUAUGAUGAAACAAGCUUAUUUUGAGACAUAUAUGAAGUGUUUUGUUGGUCUGAGUGAGUUUUGGAGGCGAGAUCAACCGUUUGGCCAAGAUUUGUGUUAGUAAUGCAGACUGUAUGAACAGUUUUGAAAAUGUGGCUUCAGUAUUGAACAAUGCUUGUUAGCAAUUGAAAAAAAACUGUAACACCGUGUCUACACAGACAUUAUACACAAGAACUCAUUAUAGUCCAUGAUGAUGUCUACACUCGACGUGGGCGGGGUUUGUAACGUAACGCUUGACGUGGGCGGGGUUUGUAACGUAACGCUUGACGUGGGCGGGGUUGGAUGUCCACCGCAGAA
This is a long non-coding RNA of Onychostoma macrolepis, 1985 nucleotides long. RefSeq lists it as uncharacterized. The record is from RefSeq and is a predicted model, not a curated record. Lineage: Eukaryota; Metazoa; Chordata; Actinopteri; Cypriniformes; Cyprinidae. The transcript has 6 exons.